RNAcentral lists this ribosomal RNA (1303 nucleotides) under Lactiplantibacillus plantarum. RNAcentral's name for it is "bacterial SSU rRNA". It matches the Rfam family "Bacterial small subunit ribosomal RNA", at positions 64 to 1333 of the family's 1533-position model. Lineage: Bacteria; Bacillati; Bacillota; Bacilli; Lactobacillales; Lactobacillaceae. The record is from RNAcentral.
GAACGAACUCUGGUAUUGAUUGGUGCUUGCAUCAUGAUUUACAUUUGAGUGAGUGGCGAACUGGUGAGUAACACGUGGGAAACCUGCCCAGAAGCGGGGGAUAACACCUGGAAACAGAUGCUAAUACCGCAUAACAACUUGGACCGCAUGGUCCGAGCUUGAAAGAUGGCUUCGGCUAUCACUUUUGGAUGGUCCCGCGGCGUAUUAGCUAGAUGGUGGGGUAACGGCUCACCAUGGCAAUGAUACGUAGCCGACCUGAGAGGGUAAUCGGCCACAUUGGGACUGAGACACGGCCCAAACUCCUACGGGAGGCAGCAGUAGGGAAUCUUCCACAAUGGACGAAAGUCUGAUGGAGCAACGCCGCGUGAGUGAAGAAGGGUUUCGGCUCGUAAAACUCUGUUGUUAAAGAAGAACAUAUCUGAGAGUAACUGUUCAGGUAUUGACGGUAUUUAACCAGAAAGCCACGGCUAACUACGUGCCAGCAGCCGCGGUAAUACGUAGGUGGCAAGCGUUGUCCGGAUUUAUUGGGCGUAAAGCGAGCGCAGGCGGUUUUUUAAGUCUGAUGUGAAAGCCUUCGGCUCAACCGAAGAAGUGCAUCGGAAACUGGGAAACUUGAGUGCAGAAGAGGACAGUGGAACUCCAUGUGUAGCGGUGAAAUGCGUAGAUAUAUGGAAGAACACCAGUGGCGAAGGCGGCUGUCUGGUCUGUAACUGACGCUGAGGCUCGAAAGUAUGGGUAGCAAACAGGAUUAGAUACCCUGGUAGUCCAUACCGUAAACGAUGAAUGCUAAGUGUUGGAGGGUUUCCGCCCUUCAGUGCUGCAGCUAACGCAUUAAGCAUUCCGCCUGGGGAGUACGGCCGCAAGGCUGAAACUCAAAGGAAUUGACGGGGGCCCGCACAAGCGGUGGAGCAUGUGGUUUAAUUCGAAGCUACGCGAAGAACCUUACCAGGUCUUGACAUACUAUGCAAAUCUAAGAGAUUAGACGUUCCCUUCGGGGACAUGGAUACAGGUGGUGCAUGGUUGUCGUCAGCUCGUGUCGUGAGAUGUUGGGUUAAGUCCCGCAACGAGCGCAACCCUUAUUAUCAGUUGCCAGCAUUAAGUUGGGCACUCUGGUGAGACUGCCGGUGACAAACCGGAGGAAGGUGGGGAUGACGUCAAAUCAUCAUGCCCCUUAUGACCUGGGCUACACACGUGCUACAAUGGAUGGUACAACGAGUUGCGAACUCGCGAGAGUAAGCUAAUCUCUUAAAGCCAUUCUCAGUUCGGAUUGUAGGCUGCAACUCGCCUACAUGAAGUCGGAAUC